Nanorana parkeri is the source of this 97-nucleotide long non-coding RNA. RefSeq lists it as uncharacterized. The record is from RefSeq and is a predicted model, not a curated record. Lineage: Eukaryota; Metazoa; Chordata; Amphibia; Anura; Dicroglossidae. The transcript has 3 exons.
GCGAGUGAGUCAAACAAUCUCAACUAACCUUUUGAAUCCAGCUUUCUAUGUGAUCUGUAGAAUUCUUCAUCUGCAAUCAUAUUAAUUUACAUCUAUC